AAGACUAUAGACCUGCGGAGUACCUGCGGAGGGAUCAUUAUUGAAGUUGAUUUCAGAGGGUUUUGUAGCUGGUUCCUCUUGGGGCAAGUGCUCGCCUUCUGUUCUUCUUUACACCACUUGUGCACCUUUGUAGAUCAUGGAUAAUGACACUCGAGUUUCUUCCAUAGCUCGGAAUUGGGGAGGAUUUGCAAUCUGAUUGCUUCUUCUAAAGUUUUCAUGGUCUAUGUUUUUCUAAAAUCU
Molecule: unclassified non-coding RNA, 240 nt
Filed under: soil metagenome
Description: partial contains 5.8S ribosomal RNA, internal transcribed spacer 2, and large subunit ribosomal RNA
Source: RNAcentral